CCUUUGUACACACCGCCCGUCGCUACUACCGAUUGGAUGGCUCAGUGAGAUUUCCGGAUUGGCUUAGAAGAGUGGGAAACUACUUUUCAUAGCCGAGAAGCUACUCAAACUCGGUCAUCUAGAGG
This 125-nucleotide ribosomal RNA is filed under the name Catunica adiposa. Its description in RNAcentral is "Ceratocystis adiposa partial small subunit ribosomal RNA". It matches the Rfam family "Eukaryotic small subunit ribosomal RNA", at positions 1657 to 1779 of the family's 1831-position model. The record is from RNAcentral. Lineage: Eukaryota; Fungi; Ascomycota; Sordariomycetes; Microascales; Ceratocystidaceae.